Molecule: non-coding RNA, 155 nt
Filed under: Brachypodium distachyon (stiff brome)
Lineage: Eukaryota; Viridiplantae; Streptophyta; Magnoliopsida; Poales; Poaceae
Description: Bacterial large subunit ribosomal RNA
Rfam family: Bacterial large subunit ribosomal RNA
Source: Rfam by way of RNAcentral
AUGGUUAAAAAUGACCGCUCAGUGAUAAAGGAGGUGGGGGUGCAAAGACAGCCAGGAGGUUUGCCUAGAAGCAGCCACCCUUUAAAGAGUGCGUAAUAGCUCACUGAUCGAGCGCCCUUGCACUGAAGAUGAACGGGGCUAAGCGAUCUGCCGAA